GUGUCAGCAGCCGCGGUAAAACGUAGGAGGCGAGCGUUAUCCGGAUUUACUGGGUGUAAAGCGCGUGCAGGCGGAUCGGAAAGUUGGAUGUGGAAGCUCCCGGCUUAACUGGGAGAGGUCGUUCAAAACUACCGGUCUUGAGUACAGUAGAGGGAAGUGGAAUUCCGGGUGUGGUGGUGAAAUGCGUAAUUAUCCGGAGGAACACCAGUGGCGAAGGCGGUUUUCUGGACUGUAACUGACGCUCAGACGCGAA
Molecule: ribosomal RNA, 253 nt
Filed under: uncultured bacterium
Lineage: Bacteria
Description: partial 16S rRNA
Rfam family: Bacterial small subunit ribosomal RNA
Source: RNAcentral